Molecule: long non-coding RNA, 1270 nt
Filed under: Linum usitatissimum (flax)
Lineage: Eukaryota; Viridiplantae; Streptophyta; Magnoliopsida; Malpighiales; Linaceae
Description: long non-coding RNA (LUSI_LNC002480)
Source: RNAcentral
GGAUAUCAAAUCAAUGAACAACAUAUUUGGUUUGUAUGCCCUAAUUUCUCCCUAUUAAGGUUCAGAAUUUUCUCCUCUCUUUCUCUUCUCAUCUAAUUCCCUUCUCUUCUUGCCUCAAUGGCUUAUCAUUCCUACAAUCAUUUAUCGGACACUAUGUCGAUCCUGUCGGGACAUUACGCGGUCCUUCCUUCCAGCGGCGAUUCUGUUGUCCUUCGGUAUUGUGCUCCUGUCGUCGAAGUCCCCCAACCUCCAGCUUCCUUCUCUUGUUGCCUAGGUAUAAAUAUUUUGUUUUUUUCAUUAUUUUUUAUAAAUUCGUCGACUAUUUGGCCGAGUUGAUGAAAUUCAUCGGUGAAUGUGCAGGUAGCCAACAGUUUUCAUGUCCUCUGUAGGCUAGCGAUCAUCAGCAAAAUCCUCUACUUCUUGUCUAGUUGAGUUGCAGGUAUAUAGCUCAAAACCCUACAAUUUGAAAUUAAUGGAAUCUGAAAUGUUAGGGUUUUAGGUAUGAUUUGUUCAAAUUGCAUAAUUAUAGUUGAUUUAAUGCACACCCAAGUCAGUAGUUUACAACAAGAAUCUUGUCUCAAUUUUCAAUAAUUUAUAGGUUCGAAUUGUUCAUGUUUAUAAUUGCUUGGGAAAUGUUAGUUAUGGGGUUGUUGAUUAAUGACUGACCAUAUUGCCGAGGCCACAACCACUACUUGAAACUUCUGAUUUCUAGGUAAUAAAAAAAGAUUGAAUGAGUUUACCCAAAGAGGCAAAGAUGGGAUGCAAAAGCAGGUAAAAAAAAAGGGAGGAAGAGGGAGAAGACUGUGAUAAGGUAUUGUGUUCAUGUAUUGGUUUGAUGGGAGUGUGUAUAGGGAUACUGGGUUAUUACUGUGCUUAUGGAUGUUGCAUUCUAUUGAGCCACUAUUAAAGAAGAUAUGUGAAUUUAAAAACUUUUCCCCUUUUUGUGUUUCAGUUUAGAUGUUCAACUUAAGCAACAUGGAAAUGUCUAGGUAACAUUUAACGUUUUGUUUUAAACAGCAAUUUGAAGAUGGUGCAAGUCAUUAUCAUCUUCUAACAUCAGGUAGCUUGUGAAGUGUGCAUUUAGUAUUCAUUUUGUGUUUUUUGUCUGACUUGUAAAGUAUCAUCAUAUGCUUAUGUAAAGUAGCAUAGGUUUCCAUUAAUGUAAGAUAAAUAUCACGUUGCAGUUUAAUAAUGAAAUGAAAGUCUGGCCUUGAGAAUUGCGGUUUGUAUUCUAUCUAUUAUUAGUUCAUAUGGAAAAGAUAAGAUUACU